UUUUUAGAAUUUCUUGAAUUUUGUAUGUAAUUUAUUGUAUGUGAUUUAGGAUUAGUGUAUGCUAUGAUAUAUGUUUUGCAAAAGAACAACAACAUUGUUUUCGAUUGAAAUUGCUACAUUGAGUUUAUUCCAAGGCCAAACAUAGAAAAAAGAAACAUCUAUCGAUUUUCUAUGUUUAAAACAUUUAUUCGUUUAAAAGUUAAACUUUAUAGUUUUAUUUUUUAAUUUUCUUAUAAAUUGUGAUAAUAGUAAAAUGAAUUAUUGCAUAAAUUGACUCUUGAAGUAGGAAUAAAAUAAAGCAAUAUUGAAUGUAUAGCAAUCAGAGCUAAUACCAAUAUUGGAAAUUGAAGUAAACUUUGAAAAUCUUUUUUGUUUUGCAUAAUCUAGUAUUGUUAUAUUAUGUGUUCUUAAAGGAUCUGCGGAAAAAAAAAAAUAAAUCUUAGUGGGUAUACUUGGGUAUAUUUCCAUAUUUUUUACUUUUAAUAAAGAAAAUUAAAAUAGUUCAAUCAUAUAAUACAAAUUGCUUGCCAUUCAACAUAGCUUCUUGUUUUGAUUUCAUUUUAUUUAAUAAAUUAUUUAUUUAUUCAGCACAUAUAUUUGUGUCUAUUAGAUAAUGUUUUGCUUAAAAAUCUUUAAUCAUAAUAUAUAUGUAUUCAUUGUUUUAGAAAUUAUAUCUUAAAAGUUAGUAAAUAUUGUGGAUCCAACACAUAUGAACUUUUCUACUUAACACACAAAGUCUACCUAAUCAUGAACAAAAAAAAAUAGAAGAGAACAUAUCAGCUUCAGUAUAUGAUGAAAAUCACUUAAAUAUUUCAAUGUUCUUGAUCAAUUCAUACUUAUUUUUUUUUUGUGUUUGAUACAUAUAUUAGAAAGUUAUUUACUAUAUCCAAUUUACCUUAUGCUUUGUAUUAAACAUAACUAAAACUGAUGACCCCCUUGUGCCCCCACAUAGUAUCUUAUAACCUACGUUCAGGUAGGAGGUACCUUUUCGUAUGAAUUCGCGGUUACCAUUUUGGCUAUUCCAUUAAAUGUAUGAGUACAUUUAUGUUUUUUAAGUAAGUCAUCCAAAAAUAGGUAAUGUUUUAAGUUCUUAAAGUUUUAAUCUGAUUGCUGAAAUAAUAAAACAGUCAUUUGUUUCUUCUAUUCAACCGUA
Non-coding RNA from Schizosaccharomyces pombe (fission yeast), 1153 nucleotides. The record is from the annotation of a GenBank genome assembly. NCBI's taxonomy places the organism in Eukaryota, Fungi, Ascomycota, Schizosaccharomycetes, Schizosaccharomycetales, Schizosaccharomycetaceae.